AACGAACGCUGGCGGCAGGCUUAACACAUGCAAGUCGAGCGCCCCGCAAGGGGAGCGGCAGCCGGGUGAGUAACGCGUGGGAACGUACCUUUUGGUUCGGAACAACUCCGGGAAACUGGAGCUAAUACCGGAUAAGCCCUAACGGGGAAAGAUUUAUCGCCGAAAGAUCGGCCCGCGUCUGAUUAGCUAGUUGGUGAGGUAACGGCUCACCAACGCGACGAUCAGUAGCUGGUCUGAGAGGAUGAUCAGCCACACUGGGACUGAGACACGGCCCAGACUCCUACGGGAGGCAGCAGUGGGGAAUAUUGGACAAUGGGCGCAAGCCUGAUCCAGCCAUGCCGCGUGAGUGAUGAAGGCCUUAGGGUUGUAAAGCUCUUUUGUCCGGGAAGAUAAUGACUGUACCGGAAGAAUAAGCCCCGGCUAACUUCGUG
Molecule: ribosomal RNA, 431 nt
Filed under: uncultured bacterium
Lineage: Bacteria
Description: partial 16S ribosomal RNA
Rfam family: Bacterial small subunit ribosomal RNA
Source: RNAcentral